CUUUAAUUACCAUGAACUAGGAACGAAAUAAAAGGAAGUAAAAUACAUUAAUAUUAUGUCUUAGUAAUACCGCUUUUUCCAACAAACAUCCCUCCCUUAAACCACUUUAAUAAACUAAAUAAGAAACGUAAGAGCAAGAUUUGCUCAUCAUAAUAGUUUGGGAAUUAGCGAUUCAAGUGAAUAUGUUUUCUGAUGGUUUGUCACGUUGUAUAUGAGGGUGUGGAUUGGGUUUACAGAAAAGACAACUAUGGGCAAAAAUAAUAAAGAAUACAGAACAAUGGGGUUAAAAUAUACCUAUUAAAGAAGAUAACCGUGUGUGCUAAAUGACAUUCUUAGCUCAAAAAUGUGCUCCGCAGUAAAAAAAAAAAAAACAUGCAUACGAUAACAAACAGGCCUUUUUAACAUUAAUUGGCCUUUUUAACUUUUUUUGAUUCGAACGUCACUGAUGAGACUUUUGUAGACGAAACGCGCGUCUGACGUAAAUACAAAAUUUAGUCCUGGUAUCUAUGAUGAGUUAUGAUAACAACCAUAAUGUAUCUAAGACUUAAACUAAAGCAAACUCUUAGAUUAAAUUGAUAAGUCGCCUGUCAAUAGUUGUAAUAAGCAUUUUGAGUCUUAUGUAGGUGAAAUGCUCGUUCCAAAUUGAAAUUGUAAGCCCUUUUAAUGCGCCUUUAAAAACAAAAAUCAGGUAAUUUUUAUUGUAUAAUAACAGUGCUAGGUUGUGCAUGUGAAAAAUAACACUAAAUUACAAGGAUUCGAAGGUUGUGGUAAAAAAUGUAUAUAUUUGACACUAGUGAUUUGUAAUCAUAGAUAUGUCGAAUUGUAUGGGUUUGUAUUCUAUUAUUUGUCUUUUGAAGAAUAAAAAUUAUUCGAUUUUAUCACAUGUAAUUUAAUUCCCUCAAAACCAAAGUCUGCACUUGAAAAUUGGACAUUAACGUGAAAUAGUUCUUUCCCAACCGCACACAACAUCUGCAGUGAUAAUUAGUUCAAAGAAGAGAA
Molecule: long non-coding RNA, 999 nt
Filed under: Mytilus galloprovincialis (Mediterranean mussel)
Lineage: Eukaryota; Metazoa; Mollusca; Bivalvia; Mytilida; Mytilidae
Source: RNAcentral